Small RNA from Bacteroides stercoris, 193 nucleotides. It matches the Rfam family "Bacteroides sRNA BTnc005". From Rfam's summary of the family: An uncharacterized small RNA discovered in Bacteroides thetaiotaomicron Lineage: Bacteria; Pseudomonadati; Bacteroidota; Bacteroidia; Bacteroidales; Bacteroidaceae. The record is from Rfam.
GUAAGUAAGAGUGUAACAGGAAGAAAGUUGCAGCAUAUACGCGGUGAAUUAUUCGGUGUCAUAGGAGCAGAGGCUUUUGGUAAGAUACUGAUAAUGAAUAGGGAAAUUAAAAGUUAAUCGUUCCCUGUCUCUCCGCUGGGAAGAAUUGCAAAACAAAGAAAAUCCCUGUAAACUAACAAUUUACGGGGAUUUU